CCUACGGGUGGCAGCAGUGGGGAAUAUUGCACAAUGGGGGAAACCCUGAUGCAGCGACGCCGCGUGAGUGAAGAAGUAAUUCGUUACGUAAAGCUCUAUCAGCAUGGAAGAAAUACUGACCUUACGGUCAGCAGACGGUACCUGAGUAAGAAGCCCCGGCUAACUACGUGCCAGCAGCCGCGGUAAUACGUAGGGGGCAAGCGUUAUCCGGAUUUACUGGGUGUAAAGGGAGCGUAGACGGUGCGCCAAGUCUGGGGUGAAAUGCCGCAGCUUAACUGCGGAACUGCUUUGGAAACUGGCGAACUAGGGUGCGGGAGGGGUAAGCGGAGUUCCUAGUGUAGCGGUGAACUGCGUAGAUAUUAGGAGGAACACCGGUGGCGAAGGCGGCUUACUGGACCGUAACUGACGUUGAGGCUCGAACGCGUGGGGAGCAAACAGGCUUCGCUACCCUUGUCGU
RNAcentral lists this ribosomal RNA (457 nucleotides) under uncultured bacterium. RNAcentral's name for it is "partial 16S ribosomal RNA". It matches the Rfam family "Bacterial small subunit ribosomal RNA", at positions 338 to 794 of the family's 1533-position model. The record is from RNAcentral.